CGAACGGGAGGCAGCAGUGGGGAAUAUUGCACAAUGGGCGGAAGCUUGAUGCAGCGACGCCGCGUGGAGGAAGAAGGCCUUCGGGUUGUAAACUUCUUUUAUAGGGGAAAAUAGUGAUGGUACCUUAUGAAUAAGCCACGGCUAACUCUGUGCCAGUAGCCGCGGUAAGACAGAGGUGGCGAGCGUUGUUCGGAAUUACUGGGCUUAAAGGGCGCGUAGGUGGUGAUACAAGUCCGAGGGAAAAUUCGCAGCUUAACCGUAGGAUUGCAUUAGAAACUGUAUUACAGAGUCGGACAGGGGAAGGCGGAAUUCCUGGUGUAGCGGUGAAAUGCGUAGAUAUCAGGAGGAAGGCCAGUGGCGAAGGCGGCCUUCUGGGGCGUGACUGACACUGAGACGCGAAAGCGUGGGGAGCAAACAGGAUUAGAUACCCGGGUAGUCC
This 439-nucleotide ribosomal RNA is filed under the name uncultured Nitrospirota bacterium. Its description in RNAcentral is "bacterial SSU rRNA". It matches the Rfam family "Bacterial small subunit ribosomal RNA", at positions 338 to 796 of the family's 1533-position model. The record is from RNAcentral. Lineage: Bacteria; Pseudomonadati; Nitrospirota.